This 276-nucleotide ribosomal RNA is filed under the name Kuwanina betula. RNAcentral's name for it is "partial 28S ribosomal RNA". Lineage: Eukaryota; Metazoa; Arthropoda; Insecta; Hemiptera; Eriococcidae. The record is from RNAcentral.
AUCUGGGCGGCGGAAUUCAGGGUUGACCGGCGUUUACGCGUCGGGCAGUUUGAUAUUUCCGUCGCCGCGCAGACGUCGCGACCUGUUUGGUGUCGGUCCCUGCUCGGAGGAACCGCGAACGAGUUUGCUGCGGGGCGCGUUUCGGCGUGCCUUCGUGGCGAAGUCGCGGACUUCUGGCCGACUCGCCGAACAGUAAGCGGAACGGUGACCGGCGUUGUUGCCUUUGGUAUACGCGGCGUCGGUACCGGUCGGCGACGAUUUCUUCGGGCCUCUUUC